This 60-nucleotide ribosomal RNA is filed under the name Aspergillus clavatus. RNAcentral's name for it is "partial 28S ribosomal RNA". Lineage: Eukaryota; Fungi; Ascomycota; Eurotiomycetes; Eurotiales; Aspergillaceae. The record is from RNAcentral. RNAcentral also lists the same sequence under 1 other name.
GGUUGACCUCGGAUCAGGUAGGGAUACCCGCUGAACUUAAGCAUAUCAAUAAAGCGGAGG